UUAAACUACAAAGGAUUUGGCGGUACUUUAUUCCAUUUAGAGGAACCUGUCUCGUAAUUGAUAAUACACGAUUAAUUUUACUUAUUCUAUUUAUUUGUAUAUUUCCGUUAACAGAGAGUCUUUUUAGAGUUUUAAUUUUCAUUAAUUAUAAUUAUAUAAUAUUUCAGGUCAAGGUGCAGUUUAUGAUUAAGUGAAGAUGGGUUACAAUAAAUUUUAGUUUAUUACGGAUUUUGUUUUGAAAUUGUAUAAUUAAGGUGGAUUUAAUAGUAAAUUGAUUAAUUUAAUUCAAUUGAUAUUGGCUCUAGGGUGUGUACACAUC
RNAcentral lists this ribosomal RNA (319 nucleotides) under Leatettix cf. emota 15_Lea_62. RNAcentral's name for it is "partial 12S ribosomal RNA". The record is from RNAcentral. Lineage: Eukaryota; Metazoa; Arthropoda; Insecta; Orthoptera; Lentulidae.